UAAAACGUAGGUACCGAGCGUUAUCCGGAUUCACUGGGCGUAAAGCGCGUGCAGGUGGUUUGGUAAGUCGGGCAUGAAAACUCUUGGCUCAACUGAGAGACGCUGUCCGAUACUGUCGAACUUGAGGGUGUAAGAGGGAGGUGGAAUUCCGCAUGUAGUGGUGAAAUGCGUAGAUAUGCGGAGGAACACCAGUGGCGAAAGCGGCCUCCUGGUACACUCCUGACACUCAGACGCGAAAGCUAGGGGAGCGAACGGGAUUAGAAACCCCGGUAGUCCUAGCCGUAAACGAUGAUUACUAGGUGUUAGUGGUAUCAAGCCCACUAGUGCCGAAGCUAACGCGAUAAGUAAUCCGCCUGGGGACUACGAUCGCAAGAUUA
RNAcentral lists this ribosomal RNA (377 nucleotides) under uncultured bacterium. Its description in RNAcentral is "bacterial SSU rRNA". It matches the Rfam family "Bacterial small subunit ribosomal RNA", at positions 521 to 896 of the family's 1533-position model. The record is from RNAcentral.